UCUUACCUGUGAUUUGUCACAGUGAAGGAGUCCGGGUCCUUGUAUCACUUCGCAGUGGUUCGCACUCAGCCAGUGUUAUUUCCGCGACUUCUCACCGUAUGAUAAAGUUACACUUGUUCACACAGAAAAUUGCAUCCCAACAAAACUGUCGUUAGCAAGUACCCGAACUAAAUUUCAGUCACUCAGUAAAGCGAUAAUUCAAAAUAUCAUUGUCUACAGAUCUGGAGAAAUUGCCAAUGCGUCUUUAGACUGUCUUUGUCAGACGAGAGGUAAAUGUCUGCAGUUGUGGCAUGUGUUGUAAUCUCCACACCACAGUAACACAAUAUGCUGUUAGAGAAACCAAAACAAAAUGGCUCAGACUAUUGAUGAAGUGGGGUAACAUGUGGUACUCUUUUCCCCAAAUUUGAGGGAGCACAAUGCUGCUGCAACAAUCCAUGCUGAGGUUUGAAGUGCACAGCAACAAUGCACCAUCGUAUGACACUGAGGUUAGGUGACACACUCACUUCCACUGUGGUAAAACAAGUGUGAGUGACAAAGAAGAAAGUGCCAGACCAUGUCUCUGUGAAGAAUCAGGAAUUGCAGAAGUGGAGGCUCUGCAGCUUGAAGGCUGGCAUAUCACAAUUGAGACUUUACUUAACUGAGUCCAAGGAAAGUCCAAUAAGUUUCUGGUUCAAUAUGAGUGCACAUCUGAUGUACUUUCAAACAUAUGAACAUUCUGUUCGGCAUGUGUAAGUAAAUCUGGGGACUGUAAACAGGUAAUGGACUGUCACGACCGGCAUGUCUCCUAGUGUACUGGCUUACCGUUGGUGAAGUAACAUUGGCUCGAGUAGAAUUCACAUGUACAAAUGUGAGAAUGGACAGUAAAGGAAGUAUGCAAAGUUUUUGUGUAUAUAGGAUUUCAUACUCUACUUCCAGAAUUAUAUGAUCAGUGUGAUGUAUUUGGUUGUAUAUUAUGAUUAA
This is a long non-coding RNA of Schistocerca serialis cubense, 960 nucleotides long. RefSeq lists it as uncharacterized. The record is from RefSeq and is a predicted model, not a curated record. The transcript has 5 exons. Lineage: Eukaryota; Metazoa; Arthropoda; Insecta; Orthoptera; Acrididae.